Molecule: ribosomal RNA, 465 nt
Filed under: Vreelandella stevensii
Lineage: Bacteria; Pseudomonadati; Pseudomonadota; Gammaproteobacteria; Oceanospirillales; Halomonadaceae
Description: partial 16S ribosomal RNA
Rfam family: Bacterial small subunit ribosomal RNA
Source: RNAcentral
CCUACGGGUGGCAGCAGUGGGGAAUAUUGGACAAUGGGCGAAAGCCUGAUCCAGCCAUGCCGCGUGUGUGAAGAAGGCCUUCGGGUUGUAAAGCACUUUCAGUGGGGAAGAAAGCCUUGGGGCUAAUACCCUCGAGGAAGGACAUCACCCACAGAAGAAGCACCGGCUAACUCCGUGCCAGCAGCCGCGGUAAUACGGAGGGUGCGAGCGUUAAUCGGAAUUACUGGGCGUAAAGCGCGCGUAGGCGGUCUGAUAAGCCGGUUGUGAAAGCCCCGGGCUCAACCUGGGAACGGCAUCCGGACCUGUCAGGCUAGAGUGCAGGAGAGGAAGGUAGAAUUCCCGGUGUAGCGGUGAAAUGCGUAGAGAUCGGGAGGAAUACCAGUGGCGAAGGCGGCCUUCUGGACUGACACUGACGCUGAGGUGCGAAAGCGUGGGUAGCAAACAGGAUUAGAUACCCCAGUAGUC